CUCCUUUUAACCCAAGAGCAAAUAGUGGCCCACAUUUACAAGUUUUUCAUUGGCCUUUUGGGGACGGCUGAGGAAAAAACUCUUUGCCUUCGGGAGGACCUAUGGGAUCCAACGAAACGGGUGUCACAGGAAGAGAACGAAGGGCUUGCUCUCUCGUUCCUGCCGGAAGAAAUCGACAAAGCCUUGGACGACAUGAAAAUGGACACAGCACCCGGGCCGGACGGGUGGCCAGUAGAGUUUUUCAAGAAGUUUUGGCCGUGCCUCAAGCACCUUUUCUAUGAGAUUGUGAACGGCUUCGCUUUGUGUACGGUAGACUUGUCGCGCCUUAACUACGGGGCUAUUAGUUUGAUCCCUAAAGUGAAAGGUGCCGAUAACAUCAAGCUCUUUAGACAGAUCACUUUGAUCAAC
RNAcentral lists this ribosomal RNA (408 nucleotides) under Triticum aestivum (bread wheat). RNAcentral's name for it is "partial small subunit ribosomal RNA". Lineage: Eukaryota; Viridiplantae; Streptophyta; Magnoliopsida; Poales; Poaceae. The record is from RNAcentral.